Molecule: ribosomal RNA, 433 nt
Filed under: uncultured bacterium
Lineage: Bacteria
Description: partial 16S ribosomal RNA
Rfam family: Bacterial small subunit ribosomal RNA
Source: RNAcentral
AACGAACGCUGGCGGCAUGCCUAACACAUGCAAGUCGAACGAGACCUUCGGGUCUAGUGGCGCACGGGUGCGUAACGCGUGGGAACCUGCCCUUAGGUUCGGAAUAACUCUCCGAAAGGGGUGCUAAUACCGGGAAAUGUCUUCGGACCAAAGAUUUAUCGCCUUUGGAUGGGCCCGCGUUGGUUUGGCCAGUUGGUAGGGUAAAAGCCUACCAAGGCGUCGAUCCAUAGCUGGGCUGAGAGGAAGAUCAGCCACUCUGGGACUGAGACACGGCCCAGACUCCUACGGGAGGCAGCAGUGGGUGAUAUUGGACAAUCGGCGGAAGCCUGAUCCACCAAUGCCGCGUGAGUGAUGAAGGCCUUAGAGUUGUACAGCUCUUUUACCCGGGAUGAUAAUGACGGUACCGGGAGAAUAAGCUCCGGCUAACUCCGUG